Molecule: ribosomal RNA, 252 nt
Filed under: uncultured Bacteroidales bacterium
Lineage: Bacteria; Pseudomonadati; Bacteroidota; Bacteroidia; Bacteroidales
Description: partial 16S ribosomal RNA
Rfam family: Bacterial small subunit ribosomal RNA
Source: RNAcentral
UACGGAGGAUGCGAGCGUUAUCCGGAUUUAUUGGGUUUAAAGGGUGCGUAGGCGGUCCGUUAAGUCAGCGGUAAAAUUGCGGGGCUCAACCCCGUCGAGCCGUUGAAACUGGCGGCCUGGAGUUGGAGAGAAGUACGCGGAAUGCGCGGUGUAGCGGUGAAAUGCUUAGAUAUCGCGCAGAACCCCGAUUGCGAAGGCAGCGUACCGGCUCUACACUGACGCUGAGGCACGAAAGCGUGGGUAUCGAACAGG